CAACAGCCUCAGCAAGCUGUUAAAGGGAUCUGAAAAACAAGCCUUAAAGAUGACAGCCACCUGCCAGCGUUCUUGGGAAGAGCAAAUGAGAACAGGUAGUUUCCUCUGCCUGCAAAGAAGCCGGAUUGAAGUCGUUGGCAUGACAACUCUUUGUAAGGGGCCAGGGGGUGGAUGGGAAUGUGUCACUAAGGAAGAUGCUUGAGGCAGAAAAUAUUGAUUUUCAACCCAACAGCCAUGUGCCCUCUUCCACGCCCCACCCUGACCUGAUCGGCUGAAGCAAACAUGUGGCCUUGUCCCCUUUUGUCUGUUCCUGGCUUAGGCAUGGACAUAUGACCCAGUUCUGGCCCAAGAAAUGUGAGACGUCUCCUGGGGGCUUCUGGGAAAGGGUUCUUAGCUUCUAUAAAGAGACACAAGGAAGAGACAGUGCCGUUUUCACCUCUGGAUGUUGUGUGGGUAUUUGCCUGGAGCCGUGGCAGCCAUCUUGAGACCAUGAGGGGUGACACUGAGGAUGACAGUAAGAAAUACAGGAAGAACCUGAGUCCUUGGUGCCAUCAUGGAGCUGUUGAAUUAACUGGUCCUGGCAUGGCUCUCCCUCUGGCUGUCCUGAUAGGGGAGAUGAUCAAUUUCUUCCCCACUGAAGGCCUCUUGUUUGGGCUUCCUGCUAUUUCCAACCAAGCGCAUCUCAACUGACACAAUGUUUGAAGCCUCCAAAUCACGCGGAGAGAAGUAACAGGCGGACCACUGGCUGGUCAGUCGAGUCGAGGUGGAAUUCCAUAGUUAGGAACCCACUGUUGCCUCCUCAUCAACCGGCACCUACACAGUGAGAAGUUCUGCUUCCUCUUUUAUACGCAAACCACGAGGGCGCCAGCCUUUGCCCGCCGCCUCGAAGGAAAUGAGCUUCUUCACGAGGACCCACCCAGGGAGUUUCGAGAUGAGCGCCCCCAGAGAUAGAACGGAAGCAGUCACGCGGCCUCCUUACCUCCAGGCUUCUCCCAGUGCCGCUUGCCCUCUUCCCUCUGCCUCACGUGUUCAGCAGGGGCCACAUAAGCACCUGCCGCUUGAGAUCGUUUUGGGGACGAAUGAGCCAAUGACUGUGACGUGCUUGCAGCAGCGCCCACACGUAAUCAGCAAUCAGUAAGUGUGGCCGUUGUGAUAAGCACGUCUUCUCCUCUCGGACAGGAGCCGCGGGGUCUGCCUCACCCACGGCCUCUCCUCCCGGCUGGACCCCACCGUCCGUGCCUGUUACCCGUGGGGAGUCUCAACAGGAAGGCAGAAGCCUGCUGUAAAGAAUUCGGGGACUCCAUGUCGGGUCAGCAGCUGCGAAGAGUCCCGGGCCACAGGAAGCCUCUGGGACCCCAGCCUCCACCCGCCCUUUCCUGAGCCCUAAGAGAAACAGAGCCCUGGAUAAUGUGCCCAAUUACAAACAGCAUUUCCCGGCUUCCCUUGUGGCUGACUACGCCACAGGACUGCGUUCUCACCAACGUACGUGGAAGGGUGGCAGGGCACUUCCAAGGAGUCUUCUUAAAGAGACCUGACUCAACGGGAGGUGAGCCCCUUUUGUUCUUUCUUCCUUCCUAUUGCCUGGAAGGUAGGCUUGAUGGCUGGAGCUCCAGCAGCCAUCUUCGACUAUGAGAUGACUUUGAGAAUGGAAGCCAUAUGCUGGGAGAAUGAAAUAGAAAUAUGGAAGAAGCUCGAGUCCCUGAUGACAUCACAGAGCCACUGUGCCAGCCUUGGGCUGCCUAUUUCCAGGCUUCUUUUACAUGAGGAAGAAAUAAACUUAGUGGAUCUUAAAUGUUCUCACCAUGGAAAAGAAGCUGUAAUUAUGAGACAUGAUGGAGGUGUUGGCUUACGCAACGGUGUGAUCAUCCUGCAACAUAUACGCGUAUCAGAUUAACACAUUGUGCCCUUGUGAUGACACUGGGCCACCCAGACGAACCAGGACCUCCCUUGUCCCACGAUCCCUAACUGAGUCACACCUGCAAAGCCCCUUUGCCGCGCGAGGUCCACUCACAUGGCCAUUUCCAGAUUCCGGGAUUCGGACGUGGACGUCUUUGGGGGCCAUUGUGUGUCUGUCCUGGUCCCCGUGAGUCUUCGCUCCAGCGCCCCCUUCUCGGUGAGCACUAUUUUAAUUCUGCAGCUUGUCCGACCCCCCGGCCUCCAGAUGCCCUUUCCCAGCUCUGCUUUCCCUUCUGACGAAGUGAGGAAUUCCCUAUCGCAUUGCGUUUCUCUCCUGCUGCCUCGUAGGACGUCAG
RNAcentral lists this long non-coding RNA (2252 nucleotides) under Equus caballus (horse). RNAcentral's name for it is "lncRNA (ENSECAG00000060326.1)". Lineage: Eukaryota; Metazoa; Chordata; Mammalia; Perissodactyla; Equidae. The record is from RNAcentral.